CUCUGCAGUGCCUUGCCUGCUCCCUCCCUGGGUUGGUUUCUGUUGCUGGGACAGGAAACAUCUUUUUUGUCAAGGAGAGAGUUAGUGGUCCUUUGCUACCCUUUGAGCACAGCCCAGACCUUUGAGAAUAUUCUACCAAGAUGAAGAAAAAGAAUCAUUCCAAUGGGUAUUUCAGAGAUUCUGCUGGCAGGUGCUUUUCUGCUUCCACACAGGCUCAAUCCUGACAUGACUGUUGACUUCAGUAAAGUCACUUUAGGGGCAGCACUACUGGGAAGCAGCAGGAAUCCUCCUGCAAGAGAUGAGAAUUCAUGUCAGGAUGACACUGCUGAGGAUUCAGAUAGAUACAUCAACACAGACAAGCCUCUACACUCUGUGAAUCUCUCAUGAACAAGGCCUUACCCCAUUCAUUGUCUUAGGAAACAGUCCUGCUGACUUCAGACACAUCAGAAUAAGCUUCUGUUUUUCCAGCUUUACAUAUUACAUUGCUGAAGUGUUUGAUGAAUGGGAUGCUGUGCAGCUGAAAGAUCACACGUCUCAAAUGGCUCACUUGGCGUUCUCAGACUGAACUGACUGGCAGAGUUGCAGCUCUCUGACAAGGAGAAUGGCUGCUUUUCUCUCAGAAGAGCACUGUAACUCUUAAAUGCAAUGUAAAGGCAAGAUAUUAUAUACACAUAUGAGUGUGGCUGUCUAUAUACACAUGUAUAUGUGUGUGGAUAUAUGUGUUUUUGGAAUGAAAAGCCACUCUGUCUUCCUGUAAUUGCACUGGAAAUGUUCAGUUUGUCAGUGUGACUUUUUUCCCUGUUAGCAAUGAAAUUUGGCCAGGAGUCCUAGCAUGCCAUGAGAAAUCAAGCCAUGACCACAUUAAGCAUGAAUGGCAGGGCAAGGUUAAAGCCUGUAACACUAUGCUGGGGUGACCUGUUGCAGAGUUAGAGGCUGAGGUGUGAGGCUGGGUCACAUAACUAUUUGCAAGUGAAGCACAAAAUGAAGCUCAAAGCUGCUUUGACUAUUUACUCUUUCAAGAGGCAUUUAGUGAGUAUUUUUUAUUUUGAAAGCAUAUUUAGAGAACUUCAGCUGCAGGGCUUGUAGCCAACCUUCAGAAAUCAAACCAGAAUAUUUCUUAAUUUUACCUACAAGUACACUCAUGGCAUAUUCCUGCUUUACUUUUCAAUGAUUUCAAAAGCUUUUUUACAAACUCAUGUACAAAGAGACUGCUGAGAAGCAUCUGAGGAAGAUGGAGAUGUUCAGCUGCAGUGAAAUAAAGCAUGGGAUCACCCAGGAGUAGGCUGGUGGAUCUUUCCUGUAAUCAGCUCUGGAGUUGUUCUACUGAGCAGAAAGUUAGACAUUCUCUUAAAGAAGAAAAAGGGGAGGUGCCAGGGAAUUGUUUGCACCACCUAUAAACUUUCUGCCCUAAAUCUGUCUCCUGAAAUACUGAAUAGAAUGCAGAUGGAAAAAACAAAACAGACAAAACAAAACAAAGAUAUUUUUGAUUUUGAAGACUUCUUAUUAAUUUGUCUUUACCAUUUUUUUAAAAAAAAAUUGAUUUAUUUUGCUUACUAGACCCUUUAGCCCAAGAGGUACGUUUGAAUGCAACUUCGAAGGGAAUUUGGCUCA
Passer montanus (Eurasian tree sparrow) is the source of this 1611-nucleotide long non-coding RNA. RefSeq lists it as uncharacterized. The record is from RefSeq and is a predicted model, not a curated record. The transcript is spliced from 5 exons. NCBI's taxonomy places the organism in Eukaryota, Metazoa, Chordata, Aves, Passeriformes, Passeridae.